Molecule: long non-coding RNA, 474 nt
Filed under: Medicago truncatula (barrel medic)
Lineage: Eukaryota; Viridiplantae; Streptophyta; Magnoliopsida; Fabales; Fabaceae
Description: long non-coding RNA (MTRU_LNC008674)
Source: RNAcentral
AGGGGUGUUCGCAUCCAAUCCAAUCCAAUGCAAACCGCAGCAACCGAACCGAAAAACCGAAAACCGAAAGCAAACCGAAAACCGAAAAAAAACCGCAAUUUUAAAUGGAUUGGAUUGGUUUUCGGUUCACAUGGUAUAAACCGAUCCAAUCCAAUCCAAACCGAACUUAUACUUGUAUAUAUGAAUUUCUUGUAAAUGUAAUCCUUAACUACUAUUAUUCUGUAACGUUUCUAUUCUCUAUGACUUUCUCUUUGUAUUGACUUUUUUCAAAUUUUUAACAAAUAUUAUUAAUUGUAUUAAUUCUCUUCCUUGAUUAAGGAGUAUACAUUCAAUGAUCACUUCUACCAAAACAAAAAUCACUCAAACGACAAUCAGCCAUUUAUGCUAUAUAUUUGCCUAGGCAGGCUCUUGUUUCUGUAUACUCAUUCACCUUUGGCCUUUCAUUUGCUGAAGCACUUCAUCCCCUCCCUCUCU